GAUGAACGCUGGCGGCGUGCUUAACACAUGCAAGUCGAACGGUGAAGGCGGAGCUUGCUCUGCUGGAUCAGUGGCGAACGGGUGAGUAACACGUGAGCAAUCUGCCCCUGACUCUGGGAUAAGCGCUGGAAACGGCGUCUAAUACUGGAUACGAGCUGCGAAGGCAUCUUCAGCAGCUGGAAAGAACUUCGGUCAGGGAUGAGCUCGCGGCCUAUCAGCUUGUUGGUGAGGUAACGGCUCGCCAAGGCGUCGACGGGUAGCCGGCCUGAGAGGGUGACCGGCCACACUGGGACUGAGACACGGCCCAGACUCCUACGGGAGGCAGCAGUGGGGAAUAUUGCACAAUGGGCGAAAGCCUGAUGCAGCAACGCCGCGUGAGGGACGACGGCCUUCGGGUUGUAAACCUCUUUUAGCAGGGAAGAAGCGAAAGUGACGGUACCUGCAGAAAAAGCGCCGGCUAACUACGU
This 467-nucleotide ribosomal RNA is filed under the name uncultured bacterium. Its description in RNAcentral is "partial 16S ribosomal RNA". It matches the Rfam family "Bacterial small subunit ribosomal RNA", at positions 28 to 506 of the family's 1533-position model. The record is from RNAcentral.